ACACGUCUAGUUUAAAUAAAACACCUAAUUUGUAAUUAUGAAAUGCUUAAUAUAACAUUGCGACAUGUG
Molecule: transfer RNA, 69 nt
Filed under: Aphrocallistes beatrix
Lineage: Eukaryota; Metazoa; Porifera; Hexactinellida; Sceptrulophora; Aphrocallistidae
Description: tRNA-Thr
Source: RNAcentral